RNAcentral lists this ribosomal RNA (450 nucleotides) under uncultured bacterium. Its description in RNAcentral is "bacterial SSU rRNA". It matches the Rfam family "Bacterial small subunit ribosomal RNA", at positions 354 to 796 of the family's 1533-position model. The record is from RNAcentral.
GUGGGGAAUAUUGGACAAUGGGCGAAAGCCUGAUCCAGCCAUGCCGCGUGUGUGAAGAAGGUCUUCGGAUUGUAAAGCACUUUAAGUUGGGAGGAAGGGCAGUAAGUUAAUACCUUGCUGUUUUGACGUUACCGACAGAAUAAGCACCGGCUAACUUCGUGCCAGCAGCCGCGGUAAUACGAAGGGUGCAAGCGUUAAUCGGAAUUACUGGGCGUAAAGCGCGCGUAGGUGGUUCGUUAAGUUGGAUGUGAAAGCCCCGGGCUCAACCUGGGAACUGCAUCCAAAACUGGCGAGCUAGAGUACGGUAGAGGGUGGUGGAAUUUCCUGUGUAGCGGUGAAAUGCGUAGAUAUAGGAAGGAACACCAGUGGCGAAGGCGACCACCUGGACUGAUACUGACACUGAGGUGCGAAAGCGUGGGGAGCAAACAGGAUUAGAAACCCCUGUAGUCC